Long non-coding RNA from Musa acuminata AAA Group (dessert banana), 1113 nucleotides. RefSeq lists it as uncharacterized. The transcript is spliced from 3 exons. NCBI's taxonomy places the organism in Eukaryota, Viridiplantae, Streptophyta, Magnoliopsida, Zingiberales, Musaceae. The record is from RefSeq and is a predicted model, not a curated record.
GGGCGGAGCAACGCGGACUGCCAAUAAAAGUGGAAUGCCCGAUGCCGUUUUCCUCGCGGCAGGUUCUUCUCCUCGUGUGCACCUCUCUCCGCUCCGAGUUCAGUCGCCCUCGCGCCCCUCCUUCUUAAUCGCAAGAUCUGAGUUUGGAAUCUAAUGCGAUCACAACGAGCGAGGUAUUCGAUGGUUACGAGCGCCAGUACAAUGAGAUCUCCGCAUCUCUCUCACGGAAAUGUACAUCAGCUGCACUUCUCGAUGGAGGUACCUCUCUCUCUCUCUCUUUCUCGUGAACUUAUUAAACAUGUAAUUUGCUCGACAGAGAAAAAGAAGCAGAAGGUAUCUGAUAAAUCUGGCCUGGAACAUGCGGAGAAUCUAGUAAUACGCUCGAUUGUAUCUCAUUGGUUGAUUAAUAGGACCUGCAACUUUAUAAGAUUGCUUUUCUAGAUUCGAAAAAUGAAUCUCGAAGCCAGAAGCUUGGAGCCGAGCAUAAAGGCCAGAUUGCUGGUAAAGUUGAGGGAAUACAAGUAGGACCUUUACAACUCGAAGAGUGAAUUUAAAAGAAUUACCAUCCCUAAUCCCAGCCAAGCUGCAAGAGAAGAGCUGCUGAAGCCAGGGAUCGCUGAUUCAUUGGCGGUAUGACAGUUACAUGGAUGUGAUGACAACAUUAGUAAGAGCAAACGGAUCCUGAUAGCCAUGUCGAGGAGGAUGGACAGGAACAAGUGGAUAAUCAGUGGGAUUAUCGUAGCUCUGGUUCUGGCAAUUUUUUUGAUCCUGUAUUUUAAGCUCGCCCAUUGAAGUGUAUCGCACGGACCUGCUCAACUUGUGGUCAACGUCUUUGUGAAAUAAUGAAGUUUACCGGAUCUCUCUUAUUCUGCAAUAUAAUCAAUUCCAUUACUCCUACCAUUUCAUUUACCUUGCUGCCUGCUGCAUCCAAUCGGCAAUGUUCAAGCACUUUGUACUAUGCAUCAUUCAGCAAGGAGAGCUGUAUACGGACGAGGGUAAACACUGUUUUUGAUCGAGUAAUUUGUAUUAUUGCACUGGCCAUGUAUUAUAAUACACAGUAAUGUCUGUCUUUGAUUUUUUUUAUUAUUUUAUUGUGAUACUCAAGCAUAUGCA